Molecule: non-coding RNA, 722 nt
Organism: Macaca mulatta (Rhesus monkey)
Lineage: Eukaryota; Metazoa; Chordata; Mammalia; Primates; Cercopithecidae
Source: RefSeq, a predicted model, not a curated record
GGCGGGGCAGGGCCGGGGCGGGACCUGUGCGCCUCUCAGCCUUGUUCCCAGCACCUCUGUUUCCGGGUUUUGGAGGCGAGACGGGCCGGGAAGGCUGAGGCAUGAUUCAAAAGCCCUGGAAUUGUCUGGAACGGGGAUACAAACUACAAUGUAAAAUGCAAGGCCCGGCCUGGGCGGAAGGUAACUGAAGCAGAGAGAGAGAAGGCAGCAUACAUCAGUGUUUCUUCUAUGCAUUUAUGAGAAAGACCAAAGACUUUAAGACUUUCACUAUUUUUUCUACUGCUGUCCACUACAGACUUCAAAGAGGAACCAGCAGUAUGGGAGGAACAUAAAACUGGAUGAGAAGCGUGACCAUUGAAACACAGCACCACAGGGAGGGAUUUAGGCCUCCGGGUGACUGCGGGCAGGCCUGGAUAAUAUCCAGCCUUCCACAAGAAGCUGGUGGAGCAGACUGUUCCCUGACUCCUCCAAGGAAAGGAGACUCCCUUUUGCGGUCUGCUAAGUAAUGGGUGUCUUCCCAGACACUGCCAUUACUGCUUGACCAAGGAGCCCUCAAGCGGCCUUAUGCGGGUCUGACAAAAGGUUCACCUCUUGCCUUCUAGGUCACUUCUCACAAUGUCCCUUCAUUACCUCACCCUACACCUGCUGGUUAUUCCUAGGUUGUAUUGGUAAUGCAACAAAGAGUAAUAUUAAAAGCUAAUGAUUAAUAAUGUUUACAAUAA